Molecule: long non-coding RNA, 1605 nt
Organism: Anopheles gambiae (African malaria mosquito)
Lineage: Eukaryota; Metazoa; Arthropoda; Insecta; Diptera; Culicidae
Exons: 3
Source: RefSeq, a predicted model, not a curated record
AAACGUUUUAGACCACCGUGCUUUAGAUCGGUUUGUAGGGCCUGUUUUUGUUCAGAUCGUUGAGCAUUAUUGAUUAAAUUGGAGGAAAAAUAAUGUUUUCACAAGCAAACAACGUGCACGGGUGAUGUAUUGAAGUAAUAGAGCAUAUGAUAACAUUGAAGCUUACCGGAUGCGUUCCACAACAUUCGAGGUAAAGCAACGAAACUAAAGGAAAAGGAAAUAAGAUUGGAAGUUGAAGGCCUCCUGGAUGCAUUCCGAUGUCACGCAUUCCAAGGUAACACACAUACACGCCGACUCCGGUGUCGGUGUACGUUUGCCCGGCGGCGUGGGGUGGAGCGGGCGGGAUGCUGUUGUUGCGCAGAUUGAUGAGCGCGGUCACCGCGGUGUUGCUGGUUAGCUUGCGUUCAAAGCUGACCGAUUUUUUCUUUCGACCGUGCGUGAAUGUCAGACAGCUAUUUUUGAAUUGUGAUUAUGAUCCGGCCGGAUGUUGGGCUGGUAGAAGAUGGUACAAAAGGGAAGCUGUUUGAAGGCUCGUUGAUUUCUUGUAAAAUAAGCACUUUUGCUUGUCUAUUAAUUACGGGAACGGAUUUCAUCCGCACGAUUUGUCGCACCAUGCAUCAUCCAACUUCUCAAUCGUUCGCCGUUCGUUGAGCAAGCCGGUGCAGCUAUACUAAUGCGUUCGCAUUCGUCCACCGCAACGCGUCCACAUCAUCGAACCAAGACGAAACAUGACGAUAACAAACGGCGAUAUGAAUCGCGGCGAUAAACGUUAGCAAGCUGGCGUGACCAUCACUGGUCAGCCACACGCGCCACACGCGGAUGGCCUUCUGUUUUGGCCCCGCUCGUAUGCCCACACAGACACACACACACACAGGGCGUCUCUUUUUCCCCCGGGGGGCACAGGUUUGGGGUGGAAAAAUGCCAUCGCACCAGGCGACCGAUCGAUCGCGGUGUGCAUUUGCCGCUUUCCAUCCCUUACGCACGCACGCACACAUCAGCGUGUGCACAUGGGGAGGGCUGUGGCUGUGUAUGUUGCUUUGGGACAGGUUUGCUAAUCAACCCCUCUGCUCUCCUCUCUCCCCUCUGCACCGAGGGAUGGUGACUAGCGAUGCCUCAGAGCGUAAGGAGCAGUUUUUGGACGCAUUCGGUGAAGCUGCUCCCGGCGUUCAAUGGCAAACUGUUGGAAACUGGUCGUCAUCACACGCAGCCACACACAUAGCGUACACAAACAUCAAACGAAACGCAAGAUAUUUGUUUUCCUUGAACCAAAUCAACUCUCUUACCCAUCCAUCGAUGAGAUCCAGCGCUGGAUCGACCAGAUGCACUAUCAGCGGUUUCGGUUCGGGCAAACUGCCACGGCUCAAGUGAGUGAGUGAGAGCUACUUUGCUAUUUUGCACAAACCACUUACGUUGUUUGUUUCAGAUGGGGUUUGCUCAUUUCGGGUGGUUUGUUUGCCACAAAAGAUUGAUUCAAUAUUGAAGCCUUUGCAUGACGAGUUAGUUCGUCCUUGAGGAGCUUUCUUUCGGUGCAUUGCUGAUCGCCUGCUUGGAUACUUUGCUACAUGAUGAUCUUGCUCUAUCUUUGAUCGAUCCUUGACGCCGAAG